RNAcentral lists this long non-coding RNA (662 nucleotides) under Rosa chinensis. RNAcentral describes it as "sRNA RchiOBHm_Chr5g0061931". Lineage: Eukaryota; Viridiplantae; Streptophyta; Magnoliopsida; Rosales; Rosaceae. The record is from RNAcentral.
CGGCGUAUCAGCGACCGCCAAGGGCGAGCAACUGGCCGCGAGCGAAAGCAAGCGGCCGCGAGGGGCGCGAGGGCCGCGAGCAGAUGGCCGCUAAGCGAGAUGGUCGCGAGGACAUCAGCGGUGAAGCGAGCGCUCGCAAGGAAAUGAGCGAAAGCAGACGACCGCGAAGACUGGCCGCAAGCGAGUGGCCGCGAAAGAAAUGGCAGCGAGCGAAACUAUGAGCAAGCGACCGAUAAGCAAGUGGCCGCGAGCGAAAGCGAGCGGCCGCGAAGCCAAUUCCCCACGAGCGAAGGCAAGCGACCACACAAGCGAGUGACCGCAGAGGACUGGCCGCGAGCGGAAGCGACUGGCUAUAAGCAAGCGACCGUGAAGAGCUCGGGGCCGCGAGCGAAUGACCGCGAGAGCGGAGAGAUGGCCGCGAUCGAAAACAAGUGGCCGUGAAGAGAUGGCCGCUAGCGAAGGCAUGAGCGACUGGCCGCGAGGGAAUGGCUGCGAGCGAACGGCCACGACGGCAGGGUUCGCUGAUGUACAUCGCCUGGGCUUCGCCAGCGAGUUUCGCCAGACAUUCUCCAACAAGAUUCACUCUGAAGUGAAGGCGAUCUAAGGGCUGCUAAAUGGAUGGAUGCCGAUCCCAGUGGCAGACGUCGAUGUAGCUAAGUCGG